GCAGUAGCCGCGGUAAUACGUAGGUCCCGAGCGUUGUCCGGAUUUAUUGGGCGUAAAGCGAGCGCAGGCGGUUAGAUAAGUCUGAAGUUAAAGGCUGUGGCUUAACCAUAGUACGCUUUGGAAACUGUUUAACUUGAGUGCAAGAGGGGAGAGUGGAAUUCCAUGUGUAGCGGUGAAAUGCGUAGAUAUAUGGAGGAACACCGGUGGCGAAAGCGGCUCUCUGGCUUGUAACUGACGCUGAGGCUCGAAAGCGUGGGGAGCAAACAGGGUUAGAUACCCGCGUAGUCCCUGUCUCUUAUACA
This 302-nucleotide ribosomal RNA is filed under the name uncultured bacterium. RNAcentral describes it as "partial 16S ribosomal RNA". It matches the Rfam family "Bacterial small subunit ribosomal RNA", at positions 508 to 808 of the family's 1533-position model. The record is from RNAcentral.